RNAcentral lists this ribosomal RNA (316 nucleotides) under uncultured Coprococcus sp. RNAcentral's name for it is "bacterial SSU rRNA". It matches the Rfam family "Bacterial small subunit ribosomal RNA", at positions 354 to 684 of the family's 1533-position model. The record is from RNAcentral. Lineage: Bacteria; Bacillati; Bacillota; Clostridia; Lachnospirales; Lachnospiraceae.
UGGGGGAAUAUUGCACAAUGGGGGGAAACCCGUGAUGCAGCGACGCCGCGUGAGCGAAGAAGUAUUUCGGUAUGUAAAGCUCUAUCAGCAGGGAAGAAAAUAGACGGUACCUGACUAAGAAGCACCGGCUAAAUACGUGCCAGCAGCCGCGGUAAUACGUAUGGUGCAAGCGUUAUCCGGAUUUACUGGGUGUAAAGGGAGCGUAGACGGCUGUGUAAGUCUGAAGUGAAAGCCCGGGGCUCAACCCCGGGACUGCUUUGGAAACUAUGCAGCUAGAGUGUCGGAGAGGUAAGUGGAAUUCCCAGUGUAGCGGUGA